CCUACGGGAGGCAGCAGUCGAGAAUCAUUCACAAUGGGGGAAACCCUGAUGGUGCGACGCCGCGUGGGGGAAUGAAGGUCUUCGGAUUGUAAACCCCUGUCAUGUGGGAGCAAAUUAAAAAGAUAGUACCACAAGAGGAAGAGACGGCUAACUCUGUGCCAGCAGCCGCGGUAAUACAGAGGUCUCAAGCGUUGUUCGGAAUCCCUGGGCGUAAAGCGUGCGUAGGCUGUUUCGUAAGUCGUGUGUGAAAGGCGCGGGCUCAACCCGCGGACGGCACAUGAUACUGCGAGACUAGAGUAAGGGAGGGGGAACCGGAAUUCUCGGUGUAGCAGUGAAAUGCGUAGAUAUCGAGAGGAACACUCGUGGCGAAGGCGGGUUCCUGGACAUUAACUGACGCUGAGGCACGAAGGCCAGGGGAGCGAAAGGGAUUAGAUACCCUAGUAGUC
Molecule: ribosomal RNA, 446 nt
Filed under: uncultured bacterium
Lineage: Bacteria
Description: partial 16S ribosomal RNA
Rfam family: Bacterial small subunit ribosomal RNA
Source: RNAcentral